Molecule: ribosomal RNA, 2896 nt
Filed under: Klebsiella pneumoniae
Lineage: Bacteria; Pseudomonadati; Pseudomonadota; Gammaproteobacteria; Enterobacterales; Enterobacteriaceae
Description: 23S ribosomal RNA
Rfam family: Bacterial large subunit ribosomal RNA
Source: RNAcentral
UUAAGCGACUAAGCGUACACGGUGGAUGCCCUGGCAGUCAGAGGCGAUGAAGGACGUGCUAAUCUGCGAAAAGCGUCGGUAAGGUGAUAUGAACCGUUACAGCCGGCGAUGUCCGAAUGGGGAAACCCAGUGCAAUUCGUUGCACUAUCGUUAACUGAAUACAUAGGUUAACGAGGCGAACCGGGGGAACUGAAACAUCUAAGUACCCCGAGGAAAAGAAAUCAACCGAGAUUCCCCCAGUAGCGGCGAGCGAACGGGGAGCAGCCCAGAGUCUGAAUCAGCUUGUGUGUUAGUGGAACGGUCUGGAAAGUCCGACGGUACAGGGUGAUAGUCCCGUACACCAAAAUGCACAGGCUGUGAACUCGAAGAGUAGGGCGGGACACGUGGUAUCCUGUCUGAAUAUGGGGGACCAUCCUCCAAGGCUAAAUACUCCUGACUGACCGAUAGUGAACCAGUACCGUGAGGGAAAGGCGAAAAGAACCCCGGCGAGGGGAGUGAAAAAGAACCUGAAACCGUGUACGUACAAGCAGUGGGAGCACCUUCGGGUGUGACUGCGUACCUUUUGUAUAAUGGGUCAGCGACUUAUAUUCUGUAGCAAGGUUAACCGUAUAGGGGAGCCGCAGGGAAACCGAGUCUUAACUGGGCGUUAAGUUGCAGGGUAUAGACCCGAAACCCGGUGAUCUAGCCAUGGGCAGGUUGAAGGUUGGGUAACACUAACUGGAGGACCGAACCGACUAAUGUUGAAAAAUUAGCGGAUGACUUGUGGCUGGGGGUGAAAGGCCAAUCAAACCGGGAGAUAGCUGGUUCUCCCCGAAAGCUAUUUAGGUAGCGCCUCGUGAAUUCAUCUUCGGGGUAGAGCACUGUUUCGGCUAGGGGUCAUCCCGACUUACCAACCCGAUGCAAACUACGAAUACCGAAGAAUGUUAUCACGGGAGACACACGGCGGGUGCUAACGUCCGUCGUGAAGAGGGAAACAACCCAGACCGCCAGCUAAGGUCCCAAAGUCAUGGUUAAGUGGGAAACGAUGUGGGAAGGCACAGACAGCCAGGAUGUUGGCUUAGAAGCAGCCAUCAUUUAAAGAAAGCGUAAUAGCUCACUGGUCGAGUCGGCCUGCGCGGAAGAUGUAACGGGGCUAAACCAUGCACCGAAGCUGCGGCAGCGACACUAUGUGUUGUUGGGUAGGGGAGCGUUCUGUAAGCCUGCGAAGGUGACCUGUGAGGGUUGCUGGAGGUAUCAGAAGUGCGAAUGCUGACAUAAGUAACGAUAAAGCGGGUGAAAAGCCCGCUCGCCGGAAGACCAAGGGUUCCUGUCCAACGUUAAUCGGGGCAGGGUGAGUCGACCCCUAAGGCGAGGCCGAAAGGCGUAGUCGAUGGGAAACAGGUUAAUAUUCCUGUACUUGGUGUUACUGCGAAGGGGGACGGAGAAGGCUAUGUUAGCCGGGCGACGGUUGUCCCGGUUUAAGCAUGUAGGCUGAUUGUCCAGGCAAAUCCGGAUAAUCAAGGCUGAGGUGUGAUGACGAGGCACUACGGUGCUGAAGUAACAAAUGCCCUGCUUCCAGGAAAAGCCUCUAAGCAUCAGGUAACAUUAAAUCGUACCCCAAACCGACACAGGUGGUCAGGUAGAGAAUACCAAGGCGCUUGAGAGAACUCGGGUGAAGGAACUAGGCAAAAUGGUGCCGUAACUUCGGGAGAAGGCACGCUGGUGUGUAGGUGAAGCCCCUGCGGGUGGAGCUGAGACCAGUCGAAGAUACCAGCUGGCUGCAACUGUUUAUUAAAAACACAGCACUGUGCAAACACGAAAGUGGACGUAUACGGUGUGACGCCUGCCCGGUGCCGGAAGGUUAAUUGAUGGGGUUAUCCGUAAGGAGAAGCUCUUGAUCGAAGCCCCGGUAAACGGCGGCCGUAACUAUAACGGUCCUAAGGUAGCGAAAUUCCUUGUCGGGUAAGUUCCGACCUGCACGAAUGGCGUAAUGAUGGCCAGGCUGUCUCCACCCGAGACUCAGUGAAAUUGAACUCGCUGUGAAGAUGCAGUGUACCCGCGGCAAGACGGAAAGACCCCGUGAACCUUUACUAUAGCUUGACACUGAACAUUGAGCCUUGAUGUGUAGGAUAGGUGGGAGGCUUUGAAGCGUGGACGCCAGUCUGCGUGGAGCCAACCUUGAAAUACCACCCUUUAAUGUUUGAUGUUCUAACGUUGGCCCCUUACCGGGGUUGCGGACAGUGUCUGGUGGGUAGUUUGACUGGGGCGGUCUCCUCCCAAAGCGUAACGGAGGAGCACGAAGGUUAGCUAAUCCUGGUCGGACAUCAGGAGGUUAGUGCAAUGGCAUAAGCUAGCUUGACUGCGAGCGUGACGGCGCGAGCAGGUGCGAAAGCAGGUCAUAGUGAUCCGGUGGUUCUGAAUGGAAGGGCCAUCGCUCAACGGAUAAAAGGUACUCCGGGGAUAACAGGCUGAUACCGCCCAAGAGUUCAUAUCGACGGCGGUGUUUGGCACCUCGAUGUCGGCUCAUCACAUCCUGGGGCUGAAGUAGGUCCCAAGGGUAUGGCUGUUCGCCAUUUAAAGUGGUACGCGAGCUGGGUUUAGAACGUCGUGAGACAGUUCGGUCCCUAUCUGCCGUGGGCGCUGGAGAAUUGAGGGGGGCUGCUCCUAGUACGAGAGGACCGGAGUGGACGCAUCACUGGUGUUCGGGUUGUCAUGCCAAUGGCACUGCCCGGUAGCUAAAUGCGGAAGAGAUAAGUGCUGAAAGCAUCUAAGCACGAAACUUGCCCCGAGAUGAGUUCUCCCUGAGACUUUAAGUCUCCUGAAGGAACGUUGAAGACGACGACGUUGAUAGGCCGGGUGUGUAAGCGCAGCGAUGCGUUGAGCUAACCGGUACUAAUGAACCGUGAGGCUUAACCUU